This 427-nucleotide ribosomal RNA is filed under the name uncultured bacterium. Its description in RNAcentral is "bacterial SSU rRNA". It matches the Rfam family "Bacterial small subunit ribosomal RNA", at positions 355 to 774 of the family's 1533-position model. The record is from RNAcentral.
UGGGGAAUUUUGGACAAUGGGCGAAAGCCUGAUCCAGCCAUGCCGCGUGAGUGAAGAAGGCCUUCGGGUUGUAAAGCUCUUUUAGUCGGAAAGAAAGAGUUGCAAUGAAUAAUUGUGAUUUAUGACGGUACCGACAGAAAAAGCACCGGCUAACUACGUGCCAGCAGCCGCGGUAAUACGUAGGGUGCGAGCGUUAAUCGGAAUUACUGGGCGUAAAGGGUGCGCAGGCGGUCUUGCAAGUCAGAUGUGAAAGCCCCGGGCUUAACCUGGGAAUUGCGUUUGAAACUACAAGACUAGAGUGCAGCAGAGNGGAGUGGAAUUCCAUGUGUAGCAGUGAAAUGCGUAGAGAUGUGGAAGAACACCGAUGGCGAAGGCAGCUCCCUGGGUUGACACUGACGCUCAUGCACGAAAGCGUGGGGAGCAAACA